GGUCAGAUGUGGGUCAAGACAUCGAGGCUUCAUUAGUUUAUCAAAUGACUGGAAACCUAAUCUGAACAAUAAAAGAAAAUAAUUAAAACUAGGAUAGCCAUCAGUAGAGCGCAUACCUCCGCCAAGUCCCGAAAGGCUCCCCUGUAUGAAAGUGGAUUUAAAUUCACUGGAUCUGGACCUUCUGAUUUGGAUCUACAUCAAAUUGUUUUCACUCACGGAUACCACAUAGCUAAACAUGCCUGAUUUAUUUCAAAAAGAUCCAUUAUUCACUGAGAAAUUGACAAGAAGGUUCAAAAAUAUCUGAUUUCACAGCUGUAAAGAAAUGUGCUGGAUCCGUCUCUUCAACUGGACAGUUUGUGUAACAAACCAACCAAUUAACAAACCAACCGUUGCUAUGGCGACUAGUACUACUAAACGAGCAGAGGUGAGGCGAGUUGCGCUGAGCCACCGGUACCGGUCAUUCAUGGCAUGGCAUCAAAACAAACUCGUUCAUCUGGUUCAGAAACAAGAAGAAACUAGAUGAAGACAAACGCUCUCAGGAUGCAGGAGCAAUUCUGAAAGAUUCUGGAGCCGCGGACCAGGAAGCAGCCCGGCCGCCUUCAGCAUCAAAUAUAUAUUCAUACUGAUAUAAAUAUGAAAAAUAUAUCUAAAAUAAAUAUUUUUAAGGAACUCUG
Molecule: long non-coding RNA, 674 nt
Organism: Acanthopagrus latus (yellowfin seabream)
Lineage: Eukaryota; Metazoa; Chordata; Actinopteri; Spariformes; Sparidae
Exons: 2
Source: RefSeq, a predicted model, not a curated record